This 410-nucleotide ribosomal RNA is filed under the name Verrucomicrobiota bacterium. Its description in RNAcentral is "Verrucomicrobia bacterium partial 16S ribosomal RNA". It matches the Rfam family "Bacterial small subunit ribosomal RNA", at positions 355 to 776 of the family's 1533-position model. The record is from RNAcentral. Lineage: Bacteria; Pseudomonadati; Verrucomicrobiota.
UGGGGAAUCUUGCACAAUGGGCGAAAGCCUGAUGCAGCGACGCCGCGUGCGGGAUGAAGGCCUUCGGGUUGUAAACCGCUUUCAGCAGGGACGAGGCCGCAAGGUGACGGUACCUGCAGAAGAAGCCCCGGCUAACUACGUGCCAGCAGCCGCGGUAAUACGUAGGGGGCAGGCGUUAUCCGGAUUCAUUGGGCGUAAAGCGCGCGUAGGCGGUUUGUUAGGUCAGGAGUUAAAUCUAGGGGCUCAACCCCUAUCCGCUCCUGAUACCGGCAGGCUUGAGUAUGGUAGGGGAAGGCGGAAUUCCAAGUGUAGCGGUGAAAUGCGCAGAUAUUUGGAAGAACACCGGUGGCGAAGGCGGCCUUCUGGGCCACGACUGACGCUGAGGCGCGAAAGCUAGGGGAGCGAACAGG